Papio anubis (olive baboon) is the source of this 1928-nucleotide long non-coding RNA. Lineage: Eukaryota; Metazoa; Chordata; Mammalia; Primates; Cercopithecidae. The record is from Ensembl.
AUGCAGAGCUCAAAACGUGUUGAAAGCUGCAACCAACAAAGAUACCUCAUAAAAGCAGCAAAACAGCAACAGCAAACAGAGGCCAUGUGUACGUCCUGGAAAGCAGCCUUCUCCUUGGCCUUGAUUAAUGAUGACAGUUCAAAUCUACCUCAAUCUCUCCCAUCGCAUUCUUAAUGCUGAAGAGCUGCUUGUAUGUUCCCUUAACCCAGCCACAGGGGAUUUAUGGGUGUGCACACAUACCAGGUAAGAAAAACAGAAGGUUGGCAGACCCGAGUAAAGGCAGCAGAUGCAGUUGUAGACACCAUGGUUAGCAUUAACAAGCACAGAAAAAAUAUUUCUAUUUUCCUGUGAAGCUGAAGCACAGACUGAACAAGACAGACAUACAGAUAAAGAAGACCAACCACAAUAGCACUGUACCAGGAAAUAUAUUAGGUGCCCAUCCAAUUAUCUUACGUGGUCAAAUACAAAAGGAAUCCGUGUACAGGGUCAAUGGUAGCCUUCAUUCCUGACUUUUUCUGGUGAGAUUUUCAUUGAAACCUGAGUACUCUUUCCACAUUAAAAUGUCUGCUUUUGAAACUAAGUUACUACUUAUAUGAACACAUCAAAGAGGCAUUAGCAUGAAAGAGGGAAAGAUCAUUAUGUCAUCCAGCUCACUUCCUUGCCAAGUAAUGAAUAUCGCCCUCAUUCCUCUUCCCAAAGUAUUGGUCAAAUCCUGUUUUUAAAGCCUCAGAGAUGGGCAUCCAUCCUCUCCCUCAGAGGAUAUUUAUUCCACAUUUUAAUAGUUUUCACAAUUAGGAAACUUUUCCUGAAAGUCUGUCCAAUUUUUCUUUGCUUAAUUUCUUUCCAUGGCCAUUUAGUAAUGGCUUAGAGUUCUGAAAAUCUUUCAAAGGCAGUUGAUCUGGAAAAGGGUGACGGAAAGUGUGCAUGAUGAGACUGGGGCGAAGCAAGCCUAUCAGGAGCAUCUAAAACCACUUGGAUUUCCACUAUGACUUCUGUGUUUACCUUAUCACAUUUUCAUAUCUAUAUAUAAAACCAUGAACUGGAGUUUGUAGAAAUUAUCAGAAAUCUUCCACAGAACACUGUUUUUUGGCUUGAAAAAAAAUUAACACAGGUCAUAGAAUAAUACUAGCGAAAAAAUCAGUUAUUUGUAGCCAACUUAACCAAGCGUGUGGUCCCGUUUUUUUCCCACUAUAGUGGGUGAAGGUUGGUGAGGGCAUUAAAGGAACGAGUAAACCAGAGAAAUAAUUUACUCCUCAAAACAGUCUUAAAUACCCAAUUCAAGGAAAUCAAAAUUUGGUCACCUAAUGAGAAAAAAAUGGACACAUUUUGAAGAAGUCAUAACUUAAUGCUCUACAUUCUUGGAUUUUAUCUCUCUAAGCCCUUCAUUUCUCCUACCUUCUAACCAACUAAAGACAAAAAUCACAAUAAAAACUCAAAGCAUAAAAAUGCCUUAAUUGAAACAACAAGCAUUUCUAGUCAUUUAUAAAAGUAUAAAUGCCUAGAAUACAAUUACAAAUCAAAUUUAAUACUUUGUGUCAUUUUAUGUUCACCUUUUGAGGAAUUAAAAGAUAUCCAAUAAUAGAAAAGAUAUCCAAUAUAUUUGGCCAUAGAGCAUCUUUGGAGGGCAUAGUGUUAUUUUCUGUAUUGCGAUUUUAUCUAAUAUAUCCACGUGAUUUGAUAUAACAUGUGUUUCCACCAAACCCUUAAUAAAUUUAUUAAUUUAAAUGGUCCCUUGAAUGCAAUUUAAGUACAUAAAAUUAGUUUUAAAGUAAUUUUGAGUGCUUCUCAUUAUAAACCAUUUAAAAUGUAAUAGAACUUUCAUUAACUGCAAUAUCAGGAUCCACAGUCUUGUUUCCCUAAUGAUGACGUUUAUUCACGAUGACUUCAGAUACUAAAAAUUCUUUUUCAUUGUUAGCUGACCUUUGCAU